Gossypium raimondii (Peruvian cotton) is the source of this 483-nucleotide long non-coding RNA. RefSeq lists it as uncharacterized. The transcript is spliced from 2 exons. Lineage: Eukaryota; Viridiplantae; Streptophyta; Magnoliopsida; Malvales; Malvaceae. The record is from RefSeq and is a predicted model, not a curated record.
AAAAAACAUUUGCAGCAUGAAAGAAAAAAUAAAAAAAACAAUGGUUCUGCUAGGGUAUUCAACCCUUUUCUUUGCGCCGCCGCCAAUCAAGGCCAACCCACGCCCUCGGUCGUCCUAGUCUUCGAUCACGACGGAGAAGGGUACACUGCGAUGACACCAGGUGUACGGAGGCCGUACGGUGACGUGGAGGGCGACAAACGUGUGGAGGUGCGCGUGGAAGGAGGAGUCGGGCUUCUGUGCUCAUGGAGAGCGGCGGGGGCUGUUAGUUUGCUGCCUAGGGUUUCUGAUUUUGAUUUUUGUUUUGGGCUACGGGUAUUUGGGCUGAUGGUUAGGUCUGGGCUUGGGUUAAUUGGGUUUUGUAAUAUGGACAUUUGGACUUUGGUUUUUUGUUUUCUAUUGGUUUUAUUUUUUUAUUUUUUCUAAAAUGUAUGUGGGCCAGGCAAAUUUGGGUUACUACAGUAAGCUUCUCGACGAUCCGCUUGA